UACGGAGGGUGCAAGCGUUACUCGGAAUCACUGGGCGUAAAGAGCGCGUAGGCGGGAUAGCAAGUCAGAUGUGAAAUCCGCGGGCUCAACUCGCGAACUGCAUUUGAAACUGCUUCCCUUGAGUAUCGGAGAGGUAAUCGGAAUUCCUAGUGUAGCGGUGAAAUGCGUAGAUAUUAGGAAGAACACCAGUGGCGAAGGCGGAUUACUGGACGACGACUGACGGUGAGGCGCGAAAGCGUGGGGAGCAAACAGG
RNAcentral lists this ribosomal RNA (253 nucleotides) under uncultured Oscillospira sp. RNAcentral describes it as "partial 16S ribosomal RNA". It matches the Rfam family "Bacterial small subunit ribosomal RNA", at positions 524 to 776 of the family's 1533-position model. The record is from RNAcentral. Lineage: Bacteria; Bacillati; Bacillota; Clostridia; Eubacteriales; Oscillospiraceae.